AAAAAAAAAAAAAAAAAAUCAAAGCCAUUACAUAUAGUAUGAAUGCAAAAAAACGAAAUAAAUUGCGAACGAAGCUGAAGCGCAAAAAAAUAGGUUUCAAAGAAUUUUCCUAUAUUUCUUAUAAAAAAGAAAUACGUAAAUUAUAUGCAAAAGAAAAAUAUACAACACCACUACCUUUGCAGAACGAACAUAGUAAUAAAUCAUUUAAAAAUGAUGAUAUAAAUACAGAUGAGUCUGUAAAUGACAUUUUCCCAAAAAAUGUUGACAAUAAAUAUUCUAUGAAUUUGAUUACAGACCAUAUGUUAGAUUUUGGUAAUGUUACGGAUAUAAAAGAGGAAGAAAUGGAAGAACAUGAUAAGAGUGAUGGUGCUUUAAGCACAAGAGAAGAUGAUGAUAACUUAGAUGAAAGUAAUAUAUUUAGUUUUUUAAACAAAAGUCAUGACCAUAACAGUAUAGACAUAGCUAGUAAUAGUAAUAAUAAAAAAGAAUAUAGUGUAAACAAAUAUGUAUUAAGUAAUAAUGGAUUAACACCAAGCUCAGGAAAAAAUAAAAGUGUAACAUCUAGGAAGUUGGAAAUUGUCAACGAAAAUGAGACAAUCGGAUUAGAUAAAAAAUAUGAGAACCAAAAAAAAAAAAUGAUAAAUGAAUUGUUACACAUUAUAAUUACGAAAAAAAAAAUAACAAAAUUGUUAAAAGACCAACUGGAAGAUACCAAUAACAAUUUUAAUUACUAUGCUAGUAGCAGUAUGAUAAAAUAUAUCGUCCGAAAGGUCGAACGUGGUGUAUAUUUUCCGGAAUUAGAAGCACUGACAAUACAUAAUGUUGAUUUUAACAAUUUGGAAAUAACAAUAGUUAAUUCUAAAAGGAUUGAAAGGUUAAAACAGUAUAUUUUUUCUUCAGAUAGGUUAGCAACUAUUGAACGUGCUAUCAUAAAAAUAUAUAAAGACAAUACAAUUCGUUUAAAAUAUGCGAGAAUGUAUAAUGGACUUAAAAUAACAGAAAAAGAAUUCCUCGUUUGUUUGUUAAUUGUAUGUAAUUAUAUAUUACUGAAGGAACAAAAUAUAACAACACGUAAAUAUAAAAAAAUAAAAGGAAUUUAUGGAUUUGUCAAAAAAAAGUUAUAUAAACCGGAAAAUGAGGGGGAACUAGAAGAUAGUAAAGACAAAAAGGAACAUAAAUAUGAUAAAAAAGGAAAAAAACAAGAAGAUGAUGAUGAUGAUGAUGAUGAUGAUAAAAAAAGAAAAAAGCAAGAAAAUAAAGAUAAAGAUAAAGAUAAAGAUGAAAAAAAAAGAAAGAAGCAAGAAAAUAAAGAUAAAGAUAAAGAUAAAUAUAAAGAUAAAGAUAAAGAUAAAGAUAAAGAUAAAGAUAAAGAUAAAGAUAAAGAUAAAGAUAGAGAUAGAGAUAGAGAUAGAGAUAGAGAUAGAGAUAGAGAUAUAGAUAGAGAUAAAGAUAGAGAUAAAGA
RNAcentral lists this long non-coding RNA (1462 nucleotides) under Piliocolobus tephrosceles (Ugandan red Colobus). RNAcentral describes it as "lncRNA (ENSPTEG00000013160.1)". The record is from RNAcentral. Lineage: Eukaryota; Metazoa; Chordata; Mammalia; Primates; Cercopithecidae.